This 253-nucleotide ribosomal RNA is filed under the name uncultured bacterium. RNAcentral's name for it is "partial 16S ribosomal RNA". It matches the Rfam family "Bacterial small subunit ribosomal RNA", at positions 524 to 776 of the family's 1533-position model. The record is from RNAcentral.
UACGGAGGGCGCGAGCGUUAAUCGGAAUUACUGGGCGUAAAGCGCGCGUAGGCUGUUGUGUAAGUUGGGGGUGAAAUCCCACGGCUCAACCGUGGAACAGCCCUUGAUACUGCGCGACUUGAAUCCGGGAGAGGGUGGCGGAAUUCCAGGUGUAGGAGUGAAAUCCGUAGAUAUCUGGAGGAACACCGGCGGCGAAGGCGGCCUGCUGGACCGCGACUGACGUUGAGGCUCGAAAGCGUGGGGAGCAAACAGG